RNAcentral lists this ribosomal RNA (633 nucleotides) under Tuber himalayense. RNAcentral describes it as "partial large subunit ribosomal RNA". It matches the Rfam family "Eukaryotic large subunit ribosomal RNA", at positions 56 to 705 of the family's 3401-position model. The record is from RNAcentral. Lineage: Eukaryota; Fungi; Ascomycota; Pezizomycetes; Pezizales; Tuberaceae.
GNNNGUAGACCAACAGGGAUUGCCCUAGUAACGGCGAGUGAAGCGGCAAAAGCUCAAAUUUGAAAUCUGGCAUCUUUGGUGUCCGAAUUGUAAUUUGGAGAGGCAACUUCAGGUAGGACCCAGUCUAUGUUCCUUGGAACAGGACGUCAUAGAGGGUGAGAAUCCCGUUCUUGACUGGAUGUUCUUGCUAGUAUGUAGUGCCUUCUACGAGUCGAGUUGUUUGGGAAUGCAGCUCAAAAUGGGUGGUAAAUUUCAUCUAAAGCUAAAUAUUGACGAGAGACCGAUAGCGCACAAGUAGAGUGAUCGAAAGAUGAAAAGCACUUUGAAAAUAGAGUCAAAAAGUACGUGAAAUUGUUGAAAGGGAAGCGCUUGAGACCAGACUCAGCCUUUGGCAAACAAGUGUCCUUCUGGGCAGUGCACUUGCCUCAGGCUGGGCCAGUAUCAGUUAGGAUGGUAGGAGAAAGGCUAGGGGAAUGUGACUCCUAUCUGGAGUGUUAUAGACCCUGGCGUCAUGCUACCUGUCCUGACUGUGGACCGCGCGUUAGCUAGGAUACUGGCGUAAUGGUCUUCAGCGGCCCGUCUUGAAACACGGACCAAGGAGUCUAACAUCUAUGCGAGUGUUUGGGGUGGAAA